CAAGCCACGCCUAUAGUGGUGGAUUUGUGCAGAAAUGGCUACUGUGAAUUAUAAAAAUAAAGACACUUCGCUGCUUGAAGGCUCAAUUGUAGACUCACUAACACUAACAAGAGAAUCGAACCGCCUGGCAGGAUAUGGGUCUUUGGACAGCCCGAGCGAUAGCUACAGUUCUGAGAAUUAUCCAGUACAGAGUGUUUUUACAGUAAGAGAGAUUACUCAUAAUCAGUAA
Long non-coding RNA from Amphimedon queenslandica, 229 nucleotides. RefSeq lists it as uncharacterized. NCBI's taxonomy places the organism in Eukaryota, Metazoa, Porifera, Demospongiae, Haplosclerida, Niphatidae. The record is from RefSeq and is a predicted model, not a curated record. The transcript has 3 exons.